UUCAGAAAUCGUUUUUUUUUAAAAUCAUAAUUAGCAUUUCUAAACACACUACUGGAAAAAAUUAAAGGAUAAAAAAAAAUCUGAAAUUUUUGGGCGAUUUUCAACAGCCCAUGUAGGAACUUACAAGCUCUGACAACGGGGCUAAGCACGGACCAGGACUGGGUAACCCAGCUCUGGCUCCCCAGUGUCGGCCCUAGCUAAGGCCCAGGACUGGGCAACCUAGCUCUGGCUUCCCAAUGUCGGCCCUAGCUUAGGUCCAGUCGUGGGCAACCUAGCGCUGGCUUUCCAUCCUUGGCCCGAGAUUAAACCAGAACUAGUAAGCCCAGCUCUGGCUUCCCAAUGUCGGCCCUAGCUUAGGUCCAGUCGUGGGCAACCUAGCGCUGGCUUUCUAUCCUUGGCCCGAAAUUAAACCAGAACUAGUAAGCCCAGCUCUGGCUUCCUAGUGUCGGCCCUAGCUAAGGCCCAGUCGUGGGCAACCUAGCGCUGGCUUUCCGCUGUUGGCCCCAAACGAGACCCAGUCAUGGGUAACCCUGCUCUAGCUCUUCAAUAUUGGCCCAAGCUUGAACCAGAACUAGUUCACCGAGCUUUGGGUUUCCACGGUAGACCCUAGCUAGGACCCAGCUAUGAAUAACUUUUACCCAUACAGGAAGCCCCCGAGUUGAACGACGGGGCCAUGCCUGGGACAUUAUUGGGAAGCCCGUCUUGGCAAACCUAUACUGUCCCAUGCCUGGGCCAUAACUGGUUAAUUAGUAUUGGCCAUUCCAAUGAUUACCCAGGCUUGAGCCAAGACUGAAUACCCUAGCUUUGGCCAACCCUAGAGUCACCCUAACAUGGGCCAAGAUUGAAUAACCUAGCCUCGGCCGUUGGAUGGUUACCCUAACAUCGGCCAACACUAGAUAACCUAGCCUUGGCCAAGCCGAGAGUCACCCUAACUUGGGAAUUAUGGUGGUAGAGUAAGAUAAUUAAGCUGGGUUCUUGAUAAAUAAUCAAUUAAAUUUAAUAAAUUUUAUUUUAAAAAAUUAUGUAAUUAUAAUAUAAAUAAUACGAAAUUAUUUUUUUCUUUCUUAAUCGAAAAUAUAGAUUAAAUUGCUCUUUAUAUUUCAUAAAACCGAGUAGUUGUAGUAAAAUGAACAAGUAGAACAUAUAAAAGUUUCAGUUGAACGUUAGUAGGUUCGUCCAGUAGCCAGCGUUCAAACCCAGCAAUCAGAAGGACGGCAGUUCGCGCCCAGAGCCCAGCAGAAUUUUCACCGAGUUUUUUUCACGUUAUUUACUUCACUUAAAUAGUUUAAACGUUAAUGAUCACACACUCUAGUACUUUAAUAAUAAUAAAUUUUUUUUUGAAUUGAAUUUAUGUGUUUUUUCGAUGCAUGGGCCAAGUCUGGCAACCAAGCAUGGGUCAGGUCUGACAACCAAGGUUGGGCCAGGUCUGGCAUGCAAGCAUGGGUCAGGGCUGGCAACCAGGCUUGGCACCCAGUUAUCAUUCCAGACUUCUACCAAGGCUGGAACAAGGCUGGCUUACAAGCUUGGCCCAGAGUUCAACAUAGUUGAACCAAGCCUGAGCCAAGCCUGGGCCCGUCGUACUUUCCUGUCUGGGUCGGGACAACAGAUUUUUAGCGUCUCCCAAAAAAAUUGUUACAAUGCAGUGAUUUUUUUUAAGCGAAAAAGUUUGUCUUUUCUUUUUAAAAUUUUCAUUUUUAAUUUGUAAUUAAACAGUGUCUUGCAUCAUAAAUUCAAACUAUUUUUGAAAAAUUGAGCAUAAUCAGUACGAUAUGUUCGAAGAUAUUGCAAAAAUCAAAAUUUUCAAAUAUGUUUUUUUUCGGAUAACUUGUAAAGUACUUCAUGGAUUCAUUCCAAAAUAUAUCCAGCUCUAAAAUUUACAAGGUACGUCGAGUGCCACCUCAACCAUCAAAAUCGGUUAAUUUAUUUCAAAAUAAACCGUUAUCGAAAGAAUUGCGAAAAAUUGUUUCUAAUUAAAUUCAAAUUGUUUAACUAAUCAAUUAAAGUUGUUUUUGAACGUUAAUGAUUAAGAAACUGGAUUGAAUGCCACCUUGAACGUCAAAAUCGGUUCAUUAUUAUAACCGGGCAGCGUUGGUAUACGACAUGAGAGUGCGGCUCUCUCGCUGUCUCUGUCUGAAUUUGGUCUUUCUCUGUCUCUCAUAUUACAGCCUGAUUGCUAAGUUUGGCUGGGUUAAGCGCUAGACCACAGGGGAUGAUUUCGCGCAGCAGGUGACCGUAAGUCGGUCAUGUGCGCAUAAUUAGGUAGGGGUCAUCGGAGGUUGGGACCUGAGACGUCUCGAUCAGGAUCGACAUUCAAGUCCAAGCUAUCGACUCGACAUUUAAGUGCAGGCAAUCGAUUCAAGUGCAGGCGAUCGAUUCAAACGACACUCAAGUCAAAGUGCUGAUACAUACAGCCUCGUUACUCGUUGCUCGAUUGUGAAAACUGUAAAAAUUCUAAAUUAUUUUGCUCUCUCUAUAAACUGGUUUAUAAAACCAAAUUUUGUUAAGUUGAUUAUCUAAGUGAUUUGUGUGAGAGUAUCCAGCACCAAGUCCAACAUCAACAGCCAGGAUCCGGAAGAGAAGGUCCAACAUGCAGCGGCGUCCAAUACCAUCAAUAUAUAAGAUGCUAUGAACGUCGAGCUCACGGUUGUCCUGCUCGGGGAAAAAUAACAAAUGAUGAACUUGAUUUAUCGAUCGUUCAUAACCAUGUAAGAAAUCCUCAGUUGCAGAAAUAUUGCAUCUUUCAAGAUGCAUUGUUUAUUGCGGCAACGGCACGCCCUUAUAGAUCCCUGAAAGUUAUAUUUGACCAUUUGAGUGUGCAAAAUCAUGAAGCAGCGUCACAAUUCACAUGGCGGAAAAUGCAGCCGCUUAUGGAAAGUUGGCGCCGCAGUGACCGACCACCUCGUCCACCGAUUCCAAGCAAUCUACAACAGUUUGCCGAUUUUUUAAACAUGCCACAGUGGGCCUAUAAUUAACUUUACUAUGAAUAAUUUUUAGUUUUAAAUAAUUCACCAGAAGUAAUAAAUAUAAUCAUAAAUUUUAACGAUUUGAGAAAAAUCUCUGCUCCAAUUUUUUAAAUGUACAUCAAUAAUAAAUUAUGAAGCAGAAAAAUUAAUUAUUUAAUUAAUAAAAUUUUACUGAAGUAAUCAUUACAGAAAAAAAAAUUAAUCAGUUGAUAAUAAAAUAAUUGCACAUUAAAUUUUUGUCAAUAAACAAUUAAAUUAUUGCACUUCAGUUUAAUGGUACGGUGUUACAAAUUUUUUUUAAUUAGUUGGAUUUAUUUUUUAAUUAAUGAACACGGGGUAAUCGAUAUUCACAAUCGAUAUA
This is an RNA transcript of Microplitis demolitor, 3324 nucleotides long. RefSeq lists it as uncharacterized. The record is from RefSeq and is a predicted model, not a curated record. The transcript has 3 exons. NCBI's taxonomy places the organism in Eukaryota, Metazoa, Arthropoda, Insecta, Hymenoptera, Braconidae.